CUAUUGAGCGGGCUGACCUCUCGGGGUUACAGCCUUGCUGAAUUAUUCACCCUUGUCUUUUGCGUACUUCUUGUUUCCUUGGUGGGUUCGCCCACCACUAGGACAAACAUAAACCUUUUGUAAUUGCAAUCAGCGUCAGUAACAAAUUAAUAAUUACAACUUUCAACAACGGAUCUCUUGGUUCUGGCAUCGAUGAAGAACGCAGCGAAAUGCGAUAAGUAGUGUGAAUUGCAGAAUUCAGUGAAUCAUCGAAUCUUUGAACGCACAUUGCGCCCUUUGGUAUUCCAAAGGGCAUGCCUGUUCGAGCGUCAUUUGUACCCUCAAGCUUUGCUUGGUGUUGGGCGUCUUGUCUCUAGCUUUGCUGGAGACUCGCCUUAAAGUAAUUGGCAGCCGGCCUACUGGUUUCGGAGCGCAGCACAAGUCGCACUCUCUAUCAGCAAAGGUCUAGCAUCCAUUAAGCCUUUUUUUCAACUUUUGACCUCGGAUCAGGUAGGGAUACCCGCUGAACUUAAGCAUAUCAAUAAGCGGAGGAA
RNAcentral lists this ribosomal RNA (533 nucleotides) under fungal sp. XKYKDF28. RNAcentral describes it as "eukaryotic LSU rRNA". The stretch from base 158 to 311 matches the Rfam family "5.8S ribosomal RNA". The record is from RNAcentral. Lineage: Eukaryota; Fungi.